UCGAGGCAUUUACCGAAGGUGCUACUCAGUAAUAUGAUCCAAAGAGUAGCUAACAUAGUUUUCUAAAAGGAAGUAAAUGGGAGAAUAGAUUGGUACUUGCAAAAGUGUUUAAAUAAAAAUGAUUAAGUUAUUAAGCAGUUUGUAGAUAGUCACUUAAGAUACAUAAAUGUAUUAUAUACGUAUUAAUAUAUUCUUUCAUAAUUUAGUUCUUAUAUUGGAUCUGUAGGUUCUGUGUUUAAAUUUAUGAAAUCCAAACCGUCUGGCAACGCCGCACUUUAAGCCAGUCUUACAGGUUCGUUGAACAAUGGGCAAAAAAUAAAGAGCGAAAAAAAAGAGAAAAAGGUCUGUUCCAGUACAAGAGCAGGUCUAAGACUUAGACUCUAUAUGUGGAACGGAAUGGUUCUCGGUCUAUUGUGCUCGAGGUAUAAUGACAACAAAAGGAGCUCAGCUUGAUAACAAUGGAGCUGUAUAUUAAUUAAUUCACGACAUGGUGUUAGAAAAAAUUACCAACAAACGUUAAUCUUUAAAGCCAGGAAGCUACUUUCAAUUAAUAACUAAAAUAUAACACUUAAACAGUUAAUUAUGAAGUUUGGAUCAUUUAAAUUAAUGUACAUUUACACACUAUCUGGCAAAUUUGACUUGUUGUGAAUUUCAUACGUACGUACACUU
RNAcentral lists this long non-coding RNA (669 nucleotides) under Drosophila melanogaster (fruit fly). RNAcentral describes it as "long non-coding RNA:CR44845 (Dmel_CR44845)". The record is from RNAcentral. Lineage: Eukaryota; Metazoa; Arthropoda; Insecta; Diptera; Drosophilidae.